ACUCCUACGGGAGGCAGCAGUGGGGAAUAUUGCACAAUGGGCGCAAGCCUGAUGCAGCCAUGCCGCGUGUGUGAAGAAGGCCUUCGGGUUGUAAAGCACUUUCAGUCGUGAGGAAGGUGGGUGUUGUUAANGCAGCAUCAUUUGACGUUAGCGACAGAAGAAGCACCGGCUAACUCCGUGCCAGCAGCCGCGGUAAUACGGAGGGUGCGAGCGUUAAUCGGAAUUACUGGGCGUAAAGCGCAUGCAGGCGGCCCUGUUAAGUCAGAUGUGAAAGCCCGGGGCUUAACCUCGGAAUUGCAUUUGAAACUGGC
Molecule: ribosomal RNA, 311 nt
Filed under: uncultured bacterium
Lineage: Bacteria
Description: bacterial SSU rRNA
Rfam family: Bacterial small subunit ribosomal RNA
Source: RNAcentral